This 76-nucleotide transfer RNA is filed under the name Sandaracinus sp. RNAcentral describes it as "tRNA-Glu". It matches the Rfam family "tRNA". Rfam says of the family: Transfer RNA (tRNA) molecules are approximately 80 nucleotides in length. Their secondary structure includes four short double-helical elements and three loops (D, anti-codon, and T loops). Further hydrogen bonds mediate the characteristic L-shaped molecular structure. tRNAs have two regions of fundamental functional importance: the anti-codon, which is responsible for specific mRNA codon recognition, and the 3' end, to which the tRNAs corresponding amino acid is attached (by aminoacyl-tRNA synthetases). tRNAs cope with the degeneracy of the genetic code in two manners: having more than one tRNA (with a specific anti-codon) for a particular amino acid; and 'wobble' base-pairing, i.e. permitting non-standard base-pairing at the 3rd anti-codon position. RNAcentral also lists the same sequence under 1 other name. The record is from RNAcentral. Lineage: Bacteria; Pseudomonadati; Myxococcota; Polyangiales; Sandaracinaceae.
GCCGUCGCAGACUCGAUUGGAGUGGGUCACUGGCUUCUCACGCCAGGUGGAGCGGGUUCGAAUCCCGUCGACGGUG